CCUACGGGUGGCACCAGUGGGGAAUCUUGGACAAUGGGCGAAAGCCUGAUCCAGCGACGCCGCGUGGAGGAAGAAGUCCUUCGGGAUGUAAACUUCUGAACUAGCCGAAUAAAAGGCCUGUGGACACACAGGAGAAGAAAGUAGGCUAGGAAAAGUCCCGGCUAACUACGUGCCAGCAGCCGCGGUAAGACGUAGGGGGCAAGCGUUACCCGGAAUUACUGGGCGUAAAGGGGGCGUAGGCGGUAAAAGAAGUCAUCUGUGAAAACCUAUUGCUCAACGAUAGGCUAGCGGAUGAAACUGAAUUACUUGAGGGCACCAGAGGUAGACGGAAUUACCCGAGUAGGGGUGAAAUCCGCAGAUACGGGUAGGAACGCCGGUGGAGAAGUCGGUCUACUGGGGUGCACCAGACGCUGAGGCCCGAAAGCUAGGGGAGCAAACCGGAUUAGAUACCCUUGUAGUC
RNAcentral lists this ribosomal RNA (460 nucleotides) under uncultured bacterium. RNAcentral's name for it is "bacterial SSU rRNA". It matches the Rfam family "Bacterial small subunit ribosomal RNA", at positions 338 to 795 of the family's 1533-position model. The record is from RNAcentral.